GAGGACUGCAGGCCACAGAGCUCAAAUGAAGGCAGUGGGACAGCGAGACCCCACUGGGACCACACAGAUGCACAAGCUGCUUCAAACCUUUCAGGGCCCUUAAAUUCCCAGCAACUAAAAGGAAACAGGCCGCCUGGGGUGCUGGAAACCGCCGGCCUGGAGUCAGCCGAAGGUUCGAUUUGUCCUUUCUAGAAACCGUGUACACAUGGACUCCUACAAUCCAGUCCUUUGUGUCUGGCUUCUGUCACUCAGCGUCGCAUUUCUGGGGCUCAUCCAUGUUGUAGCAUGUAGUGGUAUUCCAUUGAUUGGCUACACUGUAGUUUCUCCAUUUGCCAGAUGAUGGAUGCUUGGAUUGUUUCCAGUUUGGGGCUAUUUUGAAGAACGCUUCUAUGAGCAUUUGCAUCUGAGUUGUAUGGACGUAUGUUUUCAUUUCUCCCGGGGAGAUCCUAGGAGCGGAGUUGCUGCACUGCAUGGUGAACGUAUGUUUAACUCUUUAAGAAACUGCCUCGCUGACUUCUGAAGCAGCUGCACCGUGGCGUGUUCCCACCAGCAGCUUAUCUCGUGUCUUCACAUCUGCUGGAGGAUUUGAGCAGAGGAGAGAUGUGAUGAGACUUGCUCUUCAGAAGAUUCCUCCAGCUGCCGGGUGAGGGUCACUGAGAGGGAAAGGAAGAGGCAGGAGGGAGAAGUCUGGGUCCUAGGCUAAAGCUCCGGCUCUGGGUGGACCAGAGACAAGGAGCUGGAGUCCAGGGAUGUGUUCAACAGGGUCUGGCAUGGAAGGAGCAGGAGCCACAGAGACUUUGGUAACUGGCUCAGCCUCAAUCAGCAAGUGGCUGAGAGAGAAAAGAUGGAGGUGACUUGGGAGCAAGACUUCCAUCUGGACUGCGAUGAUGGUGCCGGGGCCUCUGGCUCUUGCCUGUCCAUGCAUCAUGCAUGGCCAGAUCAGCAGUCACAUCCCUUCAGAAGGUUCCCACAUCCUGUAAGGGGAGUGGCUCCCAGUCCUGGCUGCCCUUUUGAAUCACCUGGAAAACUUUAAAAUCUGCUGGCUGGGUCCUGAUGUAACUGAUCUGCGCACAGCCUGGGCAUGGAGAGGUUCAAGCUCCCAGGUGAUUUGAAUGCACACUGGGCUGAGUCAAGCUCUCAGGCGCAGGUGCACACUGGGAGCUCCAGGGGAGUUUUACAAACUACUAAAGUGCUGAGUCCCACCCAGAGCUUUUGGUGCAGUUGGGACAGGGGGAAGCCUGUGCACUAGGAGUUGUAACCUUUCCCCGGGUGAUUAUAACGCGCAGCCACGUUUGGGGACUGCUGCUUGAAGGCAACUUGUUUGGACCCAAGAGUCAGUUCUGAGCAGAUGCUUCUAAUGCUAGCAUUUCCUAAAAGAGUGUUCUUGAUUCUCUCGCUCUUUAUAAGUAGACCCAGAAAUCUUUUUUUUUUCCUUCUCAAUGUACAGAUUAUUUUUCUGAAGCAUU
RNAcentral lists this long non-coding RNA (1466 nucleotides) under Homo sapiens (human). Its description in RNAcentral is "HSALNT0331347". Lineage: Eukaryota; Metazoa; Chordata; Mammalia; Primates; Hominidae. The record is from RNAcentral.